CCUACGGGUGGCUGCAGUGGGGAAUAUUGGACAAUGGGGGCAACCCUGAUCCAGCCAUGCCGCGUGAGUGAUGAAGGCCCUAGGGUUGUAAAGCUCUUUUGUGCGGGAAGAUAAUGACGGUACCGCAAGAAUAAGCCCCGGCUAACUUCGUGCCAGCAGCCGCGGUAAUACGAAGGGGGCUAGCGUUGCUCGGAAUCACUGGGCGUAAAGGGUGCGUAGGCGGGUCUUUAAGUCAGGGGUGAAAUCCUGGAGCUCAACUCCAGAACUGCCUUUGAUACUGAGGAUCUUGAGUCCGGAAGAGGUGAGUGGAACUGCGAGUGUAGAGGUGAAAUUCGUAGAUAUUCGCAAGAACACCAGUGGCGAAGGCGGCUCACUGGUCCGGUACUGACGCUGAGGCACGAAAGCGUGGGGAGCAAACAGGAUUAGAUACCCCAGUAGUC
Molecule: ribosomal RNA, 440 nt
Filed under: uncultured Bradyrhizobium sp.
Lineage: Bacteria; Pseudomonadati; Pseudomonadota; Alphaproteobacteria; Hyphomicrobiales; Nitrobacteraceae
Description: bacterial SSU rRNA
Rfam family: Bacterial small subunit ribosomal RNA
Source: RNAcentral